AUGAACGCUGGCGGCGUGCCUCAUACCUGCAAGUCGCGCGAACAGACGAGGAGCUUGCUCCUCUGACGUUAGCGGCGGACGGGUGAGUAACACGUGGAUAACCUACCUAUAAGACUGGGAUAACUUCGGGAAACCGGAGCUAAUACCGGAUAAUAUAUUGAACCGCAUGGUUCAAUAGUGAAAGACGGUUUUGUUGUCACUUAUAGAUGGAUCCGCGCCGCAUUAGCUAGUUGGUAAGGUAACGGCUUACCAAGGCGACGAUGCGUAGCCGACCUGAGAGGGUGAUCGGCCACACUGGAACUGAGACACGGUCCAGACUCCUACGGGAGGCAGCAGUAGGGAAUCUUCCGCAAUGGGCGAAAGCCUGACGGAGCAACGCCGCGUGAGUGAUGAAGGUCUUCGGAUCGUAAAACUCUGUUAUUAGGGAAGAACAAAUGUGUAAGUAACUAUGCACGUCUUGACGGUACCUAAUCAGAAAGCCACGGCUAACUACGUG
RNAcentral lists this ribosomal RNA (496 nucleotides) under uncultured bacterium. RNAcentral describes it as "partial 16S ribosomal RNA". It matches the Rfam family "Bacterial small subunit ribosomal RNA", at positions 29 to 507 of the family's 1533-position model. The record is from RNAcentral.